UAGGGAAUCUUCGGCAAUGGACGGAAGUCUGACCGAGCAACGCCGCGUGAGUGAAGAAGGUUUUCGGAUCGUAAAGCUCUGUUGUUAGAGAAGAACGUUGGUAGGAGUGGAAAAUCUACCAAGUGACGGUAACUAACCAGAAAGGGACGGCUAACUACGUGCCAGCAGCCGCGGUAAUACGGAGGUCCCGAGCGUUGUCCGGAUUUAUUGGGCGUAAAGCGAGCGCAGGCGGUUCUUUAAGUCUGAAGUUAAAGGCAGUGGCUUAACCAUUGUACGCUUUGGAAACUGGAGGACUUGAGUGCAGAAGGGGAGAGUGGAAUUCCAUGUGUAGCGGUGAAAUGCGUAGAUAUAUGGAGGAACACCGGUGGCGAAAGCGGCUCUCUGGUCUGUAACUGUCGCUGAGGCUCGAAAGCGUAGGGAGCAAACAGG
This 429-nucleotide ribosomal RNA is filed under the name Bacillota bacterium. Its description in RNAcentral is "Firmicutes bacterium partial 16S ribosomal RNA". It matches the Rfam family "Bacterial small subunit ribosomal RNA", at positions 355 to 776 of the family's 1533-position model. Lineage: Bacteria; Bacillati; Bacillota. The record is from RNAcentral.